Molecule: long non-coding RNA, 1658 nt
Organism: Calidris pugnax (ruff)
Lineage: Eukaryota; Metazoa; Chordata; Aves; Charadriiformes; Scolopacidae
Exons: 2
Source: RefSeq, a predicted model, not a curated record
UAAAAAAAACAACAAUCCUUGAGCCAAAUCAAGUGCUCAACAACUAUAUGAUGUUUUCCACAUUCUUCUGUUUUGUUUUGUCUAUUUGGAUUAAAAGGUCUUUGCUGUAUUAACUUUGGCCUGCAGAUCUCCAGCCUGCUCUUUUCCUGUGGAUUUGCAUCCGAAGCGUGGUGCUCCCUCCUCUCUGUUUCUCUCCCUGGACGGCGUCCAGCUGCUGUGUACCUCAAAAAUGCAAAUGUGCAUCUCCUGGUGGUGCAGGUGGGAUCUUUCCUGUUUCCUGCCUGGUGGUGCUAGUUGGUGCUUAAUGGUACAAGUGAAUUUUCCAACAUGCUGUAUAAUUUUGUUGUGUGAUUCCUGCACCUCCAGGUCUGACUUCUGCCGGAAUGGUGCACGUAUCAUAUACCUAUGUGGCUUCGAAAAUGCUCACUGGAUCAUGGCAUUUAAUCAAGUAGGAUGGAGGCAAAUUAGUAUAUUUUCAGAAAGGCUCCCUGAAAAAACCACAGAGUCGAGAAAGGUGAUUCCUGGGAGGCUUUUAGACAACACACCACAGUAGCAGCAAUUCUCUCUGGCACUGAGCCUCUCUGCAUGUGGUAUCUUCUAGAAUAUAUCCAACUGCCAUACCUCGAUUUUACAGCCAAGUGACCACAGCAGAGGCAAGUUUGGUUUCUUGGAGUGAUCCACAGGAUUGUAAUCCCACCAGAUUUGCCAGUAGGACUGCUCACCUGGACGGAGAUCAGCGUGGAGAUGCAAGACUGCUGGUUUUUGCACCUUGAAAUGUAGCUGAGAAAUCAAAAUGUUGGCCUUCCAGCAGCCCGUUCACCUCCCCUGCAGCCCCAAGCUCCCCGGCACCCCUCCUUGGUGUGUCCUGCAGUCUUUAUUUGUUUUAUCUCCUCCAUGAUUUCUGUAUUCACCAACUGGUUGGUAUAGCGUGUAUUUGGAUAGGUGAGCCUGCUACUAAACGUGUUGAUUGUCUCCUGAACAAGCAAGUCAUCAGGUCGUUUUUCUAGCUAACUGUUCUUUAAUAGCCAGUUCUGUAUCUGAAUGUGUUGUGAUGGAAAAUAGAUGCAUUCACAUGAGCUUACUUUUUUUGCAAAACUUUUUUUUUUUUUCUCCUGCCUCUCCAAGUUAGCACUUUUAUCUUUUUCCUUUAAUUAGAGCAGCUGGAAGAGCAGUAAUAAACACACUUUCCUUUCCUUUGUGCUCACAUCCUGAGUGGUACAGAAAUACUCUGUUCCAUUCUCUGUAAAAUAUUUGUGGAACUCUAGCUGAACAUUUUUCUAAAAAAUGAUGUUUAUCUGGAUUUCCUUUAAUUCCAUGAAUUUGGCCUGCAUCUGUACAGGGAGUCACAGAAGUGUGUGAGGCAGCCAAUAUGGCCUGUCUGGGGUGGCAGGAUUAUGAGGACCACAAAAACUGGAAGUGAAGCAAGCAGUUUUUCAUCUGACUGGAGCAGUGGAAAACCUUGGAGCCACCACCCCGGCGCAUGCAUACACGAGAUGCUCUUGGUUGUUGUCUAAAGCACAAACGAGAAUAAAUAAUUCCCUGGUAUUUCUUCAAGAUGUCAACAAUAAUUUCCUGUAGCACCAUUGACUUUCUGGGGCUGCGCAGUCUCUGCAACCUAACCUUUAAAAAAAAAAAAAAAAAUUAAAAAAAAAAACAGC